This 253-nucleotide ribosomal RNA is filed under the name uncultured bacterium. RNAcentral's name for it is "partial 16S ribosomal RNA". It matches the Rfam family "Bacterial small subunit ribosomal RNA", at positions 524 to 776 of the family's 1533-position model. The record is from RNAcentral.
UACAGAGGAUGCAAGCGUUAUCCGGAAUGAUUGGGCGUAAAGCGUCUGUAGGUGGCUUUUUAAGUCCGCCGUCAAAUCCCAGGGCUCAACUCUGGACAGGCGGUGGAAACUACCAAGCUGGAGUACGGUAGGGGCAGAGGGAAUUUCCGGUGGAGCGGUGAAAUGCGUAGAGAUCGGAAAGAACACCAACGGCGAAAGCAGGUCUCUGGGCUGACACUGACGCUCAUGCACGAAAGCGUGGGGAGCAAACAGG